GAUGAACGCUGGCGGCGUGCCUAAUACAUGCAAGUCGAGCGAACAGAUGAGGAGCUUGCUCCUCUGACGUUAGCGGCGGACGGGUGAGUAACACGUGGAUAACCUACCUAUAAGACUGGGAUAACUUCGGGAAACCGGAGCUAAUACCGGAUAAUAUAUUGAACCGCAUGGUUCAAUAGUGAAAGACGGUUUUGCUGUCACUUAUAGAUGGAUCCGCGCCGCAUUAGCUAGUUGGUAAGGUAACGGCUUACCAAGGCAACGAUGCGUAGCCGACCUGAGAGGGUGAUCGGCCACACUGGAACUGGGACACGGUCCAGACUCCUACGGGAGGCAGCAGUAGGGAAUCUUCCGCAAUGGGCGAAAGCCUGACGGAGCAACGCCGCGUGAGUGAUGAAGGUCUUCGGAUCGUAAAACUCUUUUAUUAGGGAAGAACAAAUGUGUAAGUAACUAUGCACGUCUUGACGGUACCUAAUCAGAAAGCCACGGCUAACUACGUG
Molecule: ribosomal RNA, 497 nt
Filed under: uncultured bacterium
Lineage: Bacteria
Description: partial 16S ribosomal RNA
Rfam family: Bacterial small subunit ribosomal RNA
Source: RNAcentral